RNAcentral lists this transfer RNA (105 nucleotides) under Microcaldota archaeon. Its description in RNAcentral is "tRNA-Ser". It matches the Rfam family "tRNA". From Rfam's summary of the family: Transfer RNA (tRNA) molecules are approximately 80 nucleotides in length. Their secondary structure includes four short double-helical elements and three loops (D, anti-codon, and T loops). Lineage: Archaea; Nanobdellati; Microcaldota. The record is from RNAcentral.
GCCAGGGUGGCGGAAUCCGGUAACGCGUGCGCCUGGAAAGCGCAUGGCUGCAAGGCCUUUUGGGUUCAAAUGCAAUCUCGAUUGCUGAAUAUCCCAACCCUGGCG